This 434-nucleotide ribosomal RNA is filed under the name uncultured bacterium. RNAcentral describes it as "bacterial SSU rRNA". It matches the Rfam family "Bacterial small subunit ribosomal RNA", at positions 341 to 792 of the family's 1533-position model. The record is from RNAcentral.
ACGGAAGGCAGCAGUGGGGAAUAUUGCACAAUGGGGGAAACCCUGAUGCAGCGACGCCGCGUGAUUGAAGAAGUAUUUCGGUAUGUAAAGAUCUAUCAGCAAGGAAGAAAAUGACGGUACUUGACUAAGAAGCCCCGGCUAACUACGUGCCAGCAGCCGCGGUAAUACGUAGGGGGCAAGCGUUAUCCGGAUUUACUGGGUGUAAAGGGAGCGUAGGCGGUCUGGCAAGCCAGAAGUGAAAGCCCGGGGCUUAACCCCGGGACUGCUUUUGGAACUGUUAGACUAGAGUGUCGGAGAGGUAAGUGGAAUUCCUAGUGUAGCGGUGAAAUGCGUAGAUAUUAGGAGGAACACCAGUGGCGAAGGCGGCUUACUGGACGAUAACUGACGCUGAGGCUCGAAAGCGUGGGGAGCAAACAGGAUUAGAUACCCUGGUA